GAUGGAAGUGCAUGUGCAAGUUUCAAGACCGUCUGAUUGGCAAAUCCGUCAGGCACCAAAGUCAAGGAACGAUGCGGAGUCCCGUAGGGACGUAGGUCACGAUUUCACACUGCCAAGAAAAGCCUCUAGUGAGGGGGAAGGCGCCAGUACCGUAAACCGACACAGGUAGGCGAGAUGAGAAUUCUAAGACGCGCGGGAUAACUCUCGUUAAGGAACUCGGCAAAAUGGUCCCGUAACUUCGGGAGAAGGGACGCUCUACACAUGUAGAGCCGCAGUGAAUAGGCCCAAACGACUGUUUAGCAAAAACACAGGUCUCUGCUAAAUCGCAAGAUGACGUAUAGGGGCUGACGCCUGCCCGGUGCUGGAAGGUUAAGGGGAUGGGUUAGCGCAAGCGAAGCUUUGAACCGAAGCCCCAGUAAACGGCGGCCGUAACUAUAACGGUCCUAAGGUAGCGAAAUUCCUUGUCGGGUAAGUUCCGACCCGCACGAAAGGCGUAACGAUUUGGGCACUGUCUCAACGAGAGACCCGGUGAAAUCAUAGUACCUGUGAAGAUGCAGGUUACCCGCGACAGGACGGAAAGACCCCAUGGAGCUUUACUACAGCCUGAUAUUGAGGCUUUGUGCAUGAUGUACAGGAUAGGCGGGAGACGUCGAGCCCGGAGCGCCAGCUUCGGAGGAGUCACCCUUGGGAUACCGCCCUUCAUGCAUAGAGUCUCUAACUCGCAGCCGUAAUCCGGCUGGAGGACCGUGUCAGGCGGGUAGUUUGACUGGGGCGGUCGCCUCCUAAACAGUAACGGAGGCGCCCAAAGGUUCCCUCAGAAUGGUUGGAAAUCAUUCGUAGAGCGCAAAG
RNAcentral lists this ribosomal RNA (849 nucleotides) under Exiguobacterium sp. BMC-KP. Its description in RNAcentral is "bacterial LSU rRNA". It matches the Rfam family "Bacterial large subunit ribosomal RNA", at positions 1497 to 2356 of the family's 2925-position model. Lineage: Bacteria; Bacillati; Bacillota; Bacilli; Caryophanales. The record is from RNAcentral.